Molecule: ribosomal RNA, 1372 nt
Filed under: uncultured bacterium
Lineage: Bacteria
Description: bacterial SSU rRNA
Rfam family: Bacterial small subunit ribosomal RNA
Source: RNAcentral
GAUGAACGCUGGCGGCGUGCCUAAUACAUGCAAGUCGAGCGAACGGACGAGAAGCUUGCUUCUCUGAUGUUAGCGGCGGACGGGUGAGUAACACGUGGAUAACCUACCUAUAAGACUGGGAUAACUUCGGGAAACCGGAGCUAAUACCGGAUAAUAUUUUGAACCGCAUGGUUCAAAAGUGAAAGACGGUCUUGCUGUCACUUAUAGAUGGAUCCGCGCUGCAUUAGCUAGUUGGUAAGGUAACGGCUUACCAAGGCAACGAUGCAUAGCCGACCUGAGAGGGUGAUCGGCCACACUGGAACUGAGACACGGUCCAGACUCCUACGGGAGGCAGCAGUAGGGAAUCUUCCGCAAUGGGCGAAAGCCUGACGGAGCAACGCCGCGUGAGUGAUGAAGGUCUUCGGAUCGUAAAACUCUGUUAUUAGGGAAGAACAUAUGUGUAAGUAACUGUGCACAUCUUGACGGUACCUAAUCAGAAAGCCACGGCUAACUACGUGCCAGCAGCCGCGGUAAUACGUAGGUGGCAAGCGUUAUCCGGAAUUAUUGGGCGUAAAGCGCGCGUAGGCGGUUUUUUAAGUCUGAUGUGAAAGCCCACGGCUCAACCGUGGAGGGUCAUUGGAAACUGGAAAACUUGAGUGCAGAAGAGGAAAGUGGAAUUCCAUGUGUAGCGGUGAAAUGCGCAGAGAUAUGGAGGAACACCAGUGGCGAAGGCGACUUUCUGGUCUGUAACUGACGCUGAUGUGCGAAAGCGUGGGGAUCAAACAGGAUUAGAUACCCUGGUAGUCCACGCCGUAAACGAUGAGUGCUAAGUGUUAGGGGGUUUCCGCCCCUUAGUGCUGCAGCUAACGCAUUAAGCACUCCGCCUGGGGAGUACGACCGCAAGGUUGAAACUCAAAGGAAUUGACGGGGACCCGCACAAGCGGUGGAGCAUGUGGUUUAAUUCGAAGCAACGCGAAGAACCUUACCAAAUCUUGACAUCCUUUGACAACUCUAGAGAUAGAGCCUUCCCCUUCGGGGGACAAAGUGACAGGUGGUGCAUGGUUGUCGUCAGCUCGUGUCGUGAGAUGUUGGGUUAAGUCCCGCAACGAGCGCAACCCUUAAGCUUAGUUGCCAUCAUUAAGUUGGGCACUCUAAGUUGACUGCCGGUGACAAACCGGAGGAAGGUGGGGAUGACGUCAAAUCACCAUGCCCCUUAUGAUUUGGGCUACACACGUGCUACAAUGGACAAUACAAAGGGCAGCGAAACCGCGAGGUCAAGCAAAUCCCAUAAAGUUGUUCUCAGUUCGGAUUGUAGUCUGCAACUCGACUACAUGAAGCUGGAAUCGCUAGUAAUCGUAGAUCAGCAUGCUACGGUGAAUACGUUCCCGGGUCU